RNAcentral lists this ribosomal RNA (1508 nucleotides) under Helicobacter pylori. RNAcentral describes it as "bacterial SSU rRNA". It matches the Rfam family "Bacterial small subunit ribosomal RNA". The record is from RNAcentral. Lineage: Bacteria; Pseudomonadati; Campylobacterota; Epsilonproteobacteria; Campylobacterales; Helicobacteraceae.
UUUAUGGAGAGUUUGAUCCUGGCUCAGAGUGAACGCUGGCGGCGUGCCUAAUACAUGCAAGUCGAACGAUGAAGCUUCUAGCUUGCUAGAAGUGGAUUAGUGGCGCACGGGUGAGUAACGCAUAGGUCAUGUGCCUCUUAGUUUGGGAUAGCCAUUGGAAACGAUGAUUAAUACCAGAUACUCCCUACGGGGGAAAGAUUUAUCGCUAAGAGAUCAGCCUAUGUCCUAUCAGCUUGUUGGUAAGGUAAUGGCUUACCAAGGCUAUGACGGGUAUCCGGCCUGAGAGGGUGAACGGACACACUGGAACUGAGACACGGUCCAGACUCCUACGGGAGGCAGCAGUAGGGAAUAUUGCUCAAUGGGGGAAACCCUGAAGCAGCAACGCCGCGUGGAGGAUGAAGGUUUUAGGAUUGUAAACUCCUUUUGUUAGAGAAGAUAAUGACGGUAUCUAACGAAUAAGCACCGGCUAACUCCGUGCCAGCAGCCGCGGUAAUACGGAGGGUGCAAGCGUUACUCGGAAUCACUGGGCGUAAAGAGCGCGUAGGCGGGAUAGUCAGUCAGGUGUGAAAUCCUAUGGCUUAACCAUAGAACUGCAUUUGAAACUACUAUUCUAGAGUGUGGGAGAGGUAGGUGGAAUUCUUGGUGUAGGGGUAAAAUCCGUAGAGAUCAAGAGGAAUACUCAUUGCGAAGGCGACCUGCUGGAACAUUACUGACGCUGAUUGCGCGAAAGCGUGGGGAGCAAACAGGAUUAGAUACCCUGGUAGUCCACGCCCUAAACGAUGGAUGCUAGUUGUUGGAGGGCUUAGUCUCUCCAGUAAUGCAGCUAACGCAUUAAGCAUCCCGCCUGGGGAGUACGGUCGCAAGAUUAAAACUCAAAGGAAUAGACGGGGACCCGCACAAGCGGUGGAGCAUGUGGUUUAAUUCGAGGAUACACGAAGAACCUUACCUAGGCUUGACAUUGAGAGAAUCCGCUAGAAAUAGUGGAGUGUCUGGCUUGCCAGACCUUGAAAACAGGUGCUGCACGGCUGUCGUCAGCUCGUGUCGUGAGAUGUUGGGUUAAGUCCCGCAACGAGCGCAACCCCCUUUCUUAGUUGCUAACAGGUCAUGCUGAGAACUCUAAGGAUACUGCCUCCGUAAGGAGGAGGAAGGUGGGGACGACGUCAAGUCAUCAUGGCCCUUACGCCUAGGGCUACACACGUGCUACAAUGGGGUGCACAAAGAGAAGCAAUACUGCGAAGUGGAGCCAAUCUUCAAAACGCCUCUCAGUUCGGAUUGUAGGCUGCAACUCGCCUGCAUGAAGCUGGAAUCGCUAGUAAUCGCAAAUCAGCCAUGUUGCGGUGAAUACGUUCCCGGGUCUUGUACUCACCGCCCGUCACACCAUGGGAGUUGUGUUUGCCUUAAGUCAGGAUGCUAAAUUGGCUACUGCCCACGGCACACACAGCGACUGGGGUGAAGUCGUAACAAGGUAACCGUAGGUGAACCUGCGGUUGGAUCACCUCCUUUCUAGA